GAGCGGAUGACGGGAGCUUGCUCCCUGAUUUAGCGGCGGACGGGUGAGUAAUGCCUAGGAAUCUGCCUGGUAGUGGGGGAUAACGUUCCGAAAGGAACGCUAAUACCGCGUACGUCCUACGGGAGAAAGCAGGGGACCUUCGGGCCUUGCGCUAUCAGAUGAGCCUAGGUCGGAUUAGCUAGUUGGUGAGGUAAUGGCUCACCAAGGCGACGAUCCGUAACUGGUCUGAGAGGAUGAUCAGUCACACUGGAACUGAGACACGGUCCAGACUCCUACGGGAGGCAGCAGUGGGGAAUAUUGGACAAUGGGCGAAAGCCUGAUCCAGCCAUGCCGCGUGUGUGAAGAAGGUCUUCGGAUUGUAAAGCACUUUAAGUUGGGAGGAAGGGCAGUAAGUUAAUACCUUGCUGUUUUGACGUUACCGACAGAAUAAGCACCGGCUAACUUCGUGCCAGCAGCCGCGGUAAUACGAAGGGUGCAAGCGUUAAUCGGAAUUACUGGGCGUAAAGCGCGCGUAGGUGGUUCAUUAAGUUGGAUGUGAAAUCCCCGGGCUCAACCUGGGAACUGCAUCCAAAACUGGUGAGCUAGAGUACGGUAGAGG
This 598-nucleotide ribosomal RNA is filed under the name Pseudomonas oleovorans subsp. oleovorans. RNAcentral's name for it is "bacterial SSU rRNA". It matches the Rfam family "Bacterial small subunit ribosomal RNA", at positions 64 to 657 of the family's 1533-position model. The record is from RNAcentral. Lineage: Bacteria; Pseudomonadati; Pseudomonadota; Gammaproteobacteria; Pseudomonadales; Pseudomonadaceae.